CAGUCGCCGCGGGAAAACCGAGGAUGCAAGCGUUAUCCGGAAUGAUUGGGCGUAAAGCGUCUGUAGGUGGCUUUUCAAGUCCGCCGUCAAAUCCCCGGGCUCAACCUGGGAAUGGCGCUUGUGACUGCAAAGCUAGAGUGCGGCAGAGGGGGAUGGAAUUCCGCGUGUAGCAAUGAAAUGCGUAGAUAUGCGGAGGAACACCGAUGGCGAAGGCAAUCCCCUGGGCCUGCACUGACGCUCAUGCACGAAAGCGUGGGGAGCAAACAGGAUUAGAUACCCCUGUAGUCCCUGUCUCUUAUAC
This 301-nucleotide ribosomal RNA is filed under the name uncultured bacterium. Its description in RNAcentral is "partial 16S ribosomal RNA". It matches the Rfam family "Bacterial small subunit ribosomal RNA", at positions 509 to 807 of the family's 1533-position model. The record is from RNAcentral.